GACGCUGGCGGCGUGCUUAACACAUGCAAGUCGAACGAAAGGACGGGAAGAGCUUGCUCUUUCCGGAAUUGAGUGGCAAACGGGUGAGUAACACGUAAACAACCUGCCUUCAGGAUGGGGACAACAGACGGAAACGACUGCUAAUACCGAAUAAGUUCCAAGAGCCGCAUGGCCCAUGGAAGAAAAGGUGGCCUCUACCUGUAAGCUAUCGCCUGAAGAGGGGUUUGCGUCUGAUUAGCUGGUUGGAGGGGUAACGGCCCACCAAGGCGACGAUCAGUAGCCGGUCUGAGAGGAUGAACGGCCACAUUGGGACUGAGACACGGCCCAGACUCCUACGGGAGGCAGCAGUGGGGAAUCUUCCGCAAUGGGCGAAAGCCUGACGGAGCAACGCCGCGUGAGUGAUGACGGCCUUCGGGUUGUAAAGCUCUGUGAUCGGGGACGAACGGUCCGUAAGCUAAUACCUUAUGGAAGUGACGGUACCCGAAUAGCAAGCCACGGCUAACUACGUG
This 509-nucleotide ribosomal RNA is filed under the name uncultured bacterium. Its description in RNAcentral is "bacterial SSU rRNA". It matches the Rfam family "Bacterial small subunit ribosomal RNA", at positions 33 to 507 of the family's 1533-position model. The record is from RNAcentral.